This 231-nucleotide unclassified non-coding RNA is filed under the name plant metagenome. RNAcentral's name for it is "partial contains small subunit ribosomal RNA, internal transcribed spacer 1, and 5.8S ribosomal RNA". The stretch from base 183 to 231 matches the Rfam family "5.8S ribosomal RNA", at positions 1 to 49 of the family's 154-position model. The record is from RNAcentral.
UUUCCGUAGGUGAACCUGCGGAAGGAUCAUUCAUAAUAAAGUGUUUUAUGGCACUUUUUAAAAAUCCAUAUCCACCUUGUGUGCAAUGUUAGAUCUCGUCAAUCUUGGCGAGAUUUUUAUACAUCAACUCAUUCUUUAACUAAUUUGUCUGAAAAAUAUUAUGAAUACUUAAUUCAAAAUACAACUUUCAACAACGGAUCUCUUGGCUCUCGCAUUGAUGAAGAACGCAGC